Molecule: long non-coding RNA, 1096 nt
Organism: Homo sapiens (human)
Lineage: Eukaryota; Metazoa; Chordata; Mammalia; Primates; Hominidae
Exons: 3
Source: RefSeq, a predicted model, not a curated record
GGAGGCAGGGGCGGCCCCGCGGCUGGGCGCGGAAGGGCGGGGCCUCUCCACACUCAGCAGUUUACAAAAAGAAAAAGCCCGAGGUCGUGCGUUGGGGAAGAGAUGAAAACGAAGUUCUCGAAGUUUCUGCAGCACUGCUAGAGCGCGUCAGGGCGCAAGGCUGGGAGGCGGCUCGCGUUCCCGGUGGGGUUACCAAACUCUGGUUACAGCUUCCUAAUCUUUGUGUUGAGACCCCCUUGCAAGCCUUCUGGAAAUUAAUGCAUCUGGGCGAUUUCCGGGGCCUCCGAACUCGCUGAAGCCCAUCCCCAAACCUCCCGAGAUGAGUGGAUUCCAGGGUGGGCUCUGCUCAAUGCCCACCGCCUAUGCCCAGCACUGCUACAACCCCUUCGUGAUCUCUCAGGCUUAUGACAUCACUGUCUCCGUACACAGAUGACCCACCCUCCUGCUUUGCUAAUAAGAUCCAGCCCAUCUUCAAGCUCCUCUGCCCAGAAAGGGAAACGUUAAAACAAAAACAGAAACAUCUAAGAAGGCACUUGCAAGUUAAGCAGCAAGAGAGAAAGUAAAGUCCCAGAUGGCCUGCAGUGGGGCAGGAGGGAGAAGGUGGAAAGCCUGCCCAGAAGAAUUGAUCCUUUGUCACCAAACACAGCCCCUGCAUCCACAUCCUCAUUGACAGGUCUGCUGCAUUUUACCAGUUCUGUCUGUCUGCCAUUUACCCCUGAAGUUCUACAUAUUCUACGUCUCUUGCCUUAUGUCCCUUCUGUCUCUCUGGAUGGGUCUUCUUCUCCUGCUGUAUUUCCUCAAAAGUCUGCCCUUAGUCACCAUCCAUUUGUCACCAUGUUAUCCCUCAGCAUAGACAACCACACAUGGCUUUAUCUCCAUGUGGACAACUUUUGACUAUUAUUUUCAGCCCUUUCUUCUUUUAUGAAUACUAUCUCUGGCCUUUGAGCAGCUUUUGGAUAUUUCCUCAUGAAAGUCCUAUUGUUUGGACUAUCUUUGGAACGUCUUCCAAUUCAACCUAUUUAAAAUAAGCAUACUAUCUCUCUUCCUAAAUCAUUAUUUCCCACAGAAAGACCACCAUUUUUCUAGCCACUUGAUU